UUGACCGCGCUUUAUAUGCGGCGCGCUUGCUGCACUGCGCUUCAUUCUGAGAGCGACGUCGUGAAGCGAAGGACAACGCGAAAGCCUCUUGUGUGUUUGUAGAGAGAGACAGAAAACAACGAUUCAUCAUGUCUGACAAACCAGAUCUUGCGGAAGUCACAAAGUUUGACAAGAGCAAGUUGAAGAAGACUGAGACACAGGAGAAAAAUACGCUACCAACAAAAGAUACCAUAGAGCAGGAAAAGAACGCGUAACAAGUUUGUGUUACUAAAGACAAUGGCAAAGGCGCUGUUUUAUUGGCAUUCUCAUGAAACAAUAUCACAAACAAUGGACCAAAAUUCAGUGACCUUUAAAGCUUCAAGCUACAACGUGUUGGUCUCUUAGCAACAUUCCUUUCGCUUCUAGACAUUCUGUAACUUCUGGGAACGAAAAAUGAUCACUAUGGAAACGUGAUGCGUCACUAAGGAACCUAAUGCUUUCAUUCAAUAUGGGAACGUGAUCUUACACAAUGGAAACAACGACUGUCACCACGGAAACAAGCACUUUAAGGUUGAAAACGAGGCUUUCAAAAGGUCAAGGUUAAUUUUGAAUGAUUCAAAUUCGAAUCAUUUCAGAUAGUAGAUUUUGUCAUUCAUUCAGAAAUUUCCCUGACUGGUCGGGUUAUUCAACAUCCACGUGAUGUGGUUUUAUUCCACCAGUAAACACCCGUGUUGGUUAAUUGAAAAACUGACUGCUCUUGUGAAGAUAUGUAGAACGGCUCUCUAAUUUAUCAGACGACUUUGGAUUUCCCGCAGUUUUGGAAACCAGUUUGUAAACCCCGAACCGAGACCACCGUGCAAUGUAUGCUUGUAGAUCGCUAACAGUUGAUAUAGUUAUAGUAGUUUUUGUUGUAGUAUCGUUAUUUACUUAUUAUGCAAAUCUAACCACUGUGCUCAAGAUUAUACUUAGUGAUGUGAUCGUUUAAGUACUAAAUCCAUGACCAAUUUUGGAACCCAUGAAAUACUUAUGAAAACCUGCCCGUUUUGAAUUAAUGUCCAUCUUUGUUAAUUUUUGUGAAGA
Molecule: long non-coding RNA, 1059 nt
Organism: Lingula anatina
Lineage: Eukaryota; Metazoa; Brachiopoda; Lingulata; Lingulida; Lingulidae
Source: RefSeq, a predicted model, not a curated record